This 69-nucleotide transfer RNA is filed under the name Perotrochus quoyanus. Its description in RNAcentral is "tRNA-Ala". RNAcentral also lists the same sequence under 1 other name. The record is from RNAcentral. Lineage: Eukaryota; Metazoa; Mollusca; Gastropoda; Pleurotomariida; Pleurotomariidae.
GGCGCUAUACUUUAAUGUAAAAGAAUUGAUUUGCAGUCAGAAAAUAAAACAUAGGUGUUUUUAGGGCCA